GGUGGUUUUGGUGUCCAGUUCCCUGGAGUCUGGACUGGGAGCCACAGACAGCUCAGGGUCUGCCUGUCCCUUAUACUCUGCUCCCUACCCUUCCUUUACCUCCUCCCCCUCCCAAGCCUGACUAAUUCCAGAGGGUCAUGCUGUACAUGAUGGGGGCUAUUCGAGGGAAGAAGAAAGAAGUCGGCCUGAGUGAUGGAUACAUUUGGAAAACGUGAGCAGUGUACCAGCUGUGGAACUUUCCCCUCCACGAAGGGCUAAGUUGAUGAAAAGAAAACCAAAGUCAGGACAACUAUAACAUUCAGAAGAAAAAUACUUGUGCAUGAAGAUACCAUCUCUGAGAACAUUCCACUUACUACAGGCUUGCUUUCUGGGGAAGCACAUCUAGUCUCCGAACACUCAGAGGAAAAGAUACUUGUGCCUGAAAACACUGUUUCUGAAAACAUGGCUGUUACUACACAAUUACUUUCUGGGGAAAUGCAUCGAGUGUCCAAGCACUCAGAGGAAAAGAUCCUUGUUGCAGGAGACACUGUCUCUGAGAACUUAACAGUUACUACAAAAUUACUUUCAGGGGAAUCACAUCUAAUCUUAAAACAUUCACUAGACAAGACAUUUGGGGUUGAAGACACUGUCUCUGAGAACAUUCCACUUACUAUAGGCUUGCUUUCUGGGGAAGUACAUCUAGUCUCUGAACACUGAGGAAAAAAUACUUGUGACAGGAGACACUGUCUCUGAGAACUUAACAGUUACUACAAAAUUACUUUCAGGGGAAAUACAUCUAUCUAAUCGUAGAACAUACACUAGACAAGACUUUUGGGGCUGGAGACACUGUCUCUGAGAACAUGCCGGUAACUAUAAAAUUGCUUUCUGCUGACACACAUCUAGUAUUAAAACAUUUUGUAGACAACACAUCCGGGGGCUGGAGACACUGUCUCUGAAAACAAAUCGGCGACCACAGGCUUACUCCCAAUGGAGUAUAGUCCUUCAAGACAAGACGCAAUCUUUAAUGAAAUCGAAGACUUUCAAACAUUCCUGAUGAAAAGACCCGAGCUGAAUAGAAAAUCACACACAAGACUCAAGAGGACCCAAAAAAGGUAAACAUGAAAUAGAAAUCAUGAUGGACUCAAGAAGGUUAACUUGUGUAGCCUUCUAUAAGGGAAAAUAAUUUAUGCAUUUUUCAGAAUUUCAUCAUUAUUAGGAAGUUAGAAUGGCUCUACAGAGCAGAAGGGUCUGGGAGGGAGUUGAUUAGGUUGAGAUGAUCAAAAUGGAUAGGUGAGAAAGAGGGAUGCAGUGGGAGAAGGGGAAAGAGAGUGAAAGAUUGGGGGUGGGGGGGAGAAUUGUCUUAAGUAAAAGAGAUGCCCCAGGAAGAACUUUUACAAUGGAAGGAAAAAUGGAGGGUGGGUUGGGCAACAUUUGAACUUCAGUCACAUGUAAAGUGUUUCAGAAAGGAAAAAUUCAUAUACAUACUCAAUUGGCAAUACAAGUCUCUCUUACCAGCUAGGGAAGUAGGGGAGAGUAAAGGGGUAAGAGAAAGGGGAGUCAGAACUCGGGGGGGCAGAUAAAAAUGGCAGAGUUCAGAAGCAAAACAUUGAUGGAGGGAAAGGAUAAAAAGCCAGGGAGAGAAAAGGAGAGAGAGAGAGAGAGAGA
Long non-coding RNA from Dromiciops gliroides (monito del monte), 1644 nucleotides. RefSeq lists it as uncharacterized. The record is from RefSeq and is a predicted model, not a curated record. NCBI's taxonomy places the organism in Eukaryota, Metazoa, Chordata, Mammalia, Microbiotheria, Microbiotheriidae. The transcript is spliced from 3 exons.